UUUACCUACGGGGGGCAGCAGUAGGGAAUUUUCGUCAAUGGGCGCAAGCCUGAACGAGCAAUGCCGCGUGAACGAGGAAGGUCUUCGGAUCGUAAAGUUCUGUUGAAGGGGAAAAAGAGCGGAGAGAGGAAAUGAACUCCGAUUGAUAUUACCCUUCGAGGAAGUCACGGCUAACUACGUGCCAGCAGCCGCGGUAAUACGUAGGUGGCGAGCGUUAUCCGGAUUUAUUGGGUUUAAAGGGUGCGUAGGCGGAAGGUUAAGUCAGCGGUCAAAUGUCGGUGCUCAACACCGGCCUGCCGUUGAAA
This 305-nucleotide ribosomal RNA is filed under the name uncultured bacterium. Its description in RNAcentral is "bacterial SSU rRNA". It matches the Rfam family "Bacterial small subunit ribosomal RNA", at positions 334 to 632 of the family's 1533-position model. The record is from RNAcentral.